This 2371-nucleotide ribosomal RNA is filed under the name Escherichia coli KTE213. RNAcentral's name for it is "bacterial LSU rRNA". It matches the Rfam family "Bacterial large subunit ribosomal RNA", at positions 575 to 2925 of the family's 2925-position model. The record is from RNAcentral. Lineage: Bacteria; Pseudomonadati; Pseudomonadota; Gammaproteobacteria; Enterobacterales; Enterobacteriaceae.
GGGAGCCUCUUUAUGGGGUGACUGCGUACCUUUUGUAUAAUGGGUCAGCGACUUAUAUUCUGUAGCAAGGUUAACCGAAUAGGGGAGCCGAAGGGAAACCGAGUCUUAACUGGGCGUUAAGUUGCAGGGUAUAGACCCGAAACCCGGUGAUCUAGCCAUGGGCAGGUUGAAGGUUGGGUAACACUAACUGGAGGACCGAACCGACUAAUGUUGAAAAAUUAGCGGAUGACUUGUGGCUGGGGGUGAAAGGCCAAUCAAACCGGGAGAUAGCUGGUUCUCCCCGAAAGCUAUUUAGGUAGCGCCUCGUGAACUCAUCUCCGGGGGUAGAGCACUGUUUCGGCAAGGGGGUCAUCCCGACUUACCAACCCGAUGCAAACUGCGAAUACCGGAGAAUGUUAUCACGGGAGACACACGGCGGGUGCUAACGUCCGUCGUGAAGAGGGAAACAACCCAGACCGCCAGCUAAGGUCCCAAAGUCAUGGUUAAGUGGGAAACGAUGUGGGAAGGCCCAGACAGCCAGGAUGUUGGCUUAGAAGCAGCCAUCAUUUAAAGAAAGCGUAAUAGCUCACUGGUCGAGUCGGCCUGCGCGGAAGAUGUAACGGGGCUAAACCAUGCACCGAAGCUGCGGCAGCGACGCUUAUGCGUUGUUGGGUAGGGGAGCGUUCUGUAAGCCUGCGAAGGUGUACUGUGAGGUAUGCUGGAGGUAUCAGAAGUGCGAAUGCUGACAUAAGUAACGAUAAAGCGGGUGAAAAGCCCGCUCGCCGGAAGACCAAGGGUUCCUGUCCAACGUUAAUCGGGGCAGGGUGAGUCGACCCCUAAGGCGAGGCCGAAAGGCGUAGUCGAUGGGAAACAGGUUAAUAUUCCUGUACUUGGUGUUACUGCGAAGGGGGGACGGAGAAGGCUAUGUUGGCCGGGCGACGGUUGUCCCGGUUUAAGCGUGUAGGCUGGUUUUCCAGGCAAAUCCGGAAAAUCAAGGCUGAGGCGUGAUGACGAGGCACUACGGUGCUGAAGCAACAAAUGCCCUGCUUCCAGGAAAAGCCUCUAAGCAUCAGGUAACAUCAAAUCGUACCCCAAACCGACACAGGUGGUCAGGUAGAGAAUACCAAGGCGCUUGAGAGAACUCGGGUGAAGGAACUAGGCAAAAUGGUGCCGUAACUUCGGGAGAAGGCACGCUGAUACGUAGGUGAAGUCCCUUGCGGAUGGAGCUGAAAUCAGUCGAAGAUACCAGCUGGCUGCAACUGUUUAUUAAAAACACAGCACUGUGCAAACACGAAAGUGGACGUAUACGGUGUGACGCCUGCCCGGUGCCGGAAGGUUAAUUGAUGGGGUUAGCGGUAACGCGAAGCUCUUGAUCGAAGCCCCGGUAAACGGCGGCCGUAACUAUAACGGUCCUAAGGUAGCGAAAUUCCUUGUCGGGUAAGUUCCGACCUGCACGAAUGGCGUAAUGAUGGCCAGGCUGUCUCCACCCGAGACUCAGUGAAAUUGAACUCGCUGUGAAGAUGCAGUGUACCCGCGGCAAGACGGAAAGACCCCGUGAACCUUUACUAUAGCUUGACACUGAACAUUGAGCCUUGAUGUGUAGGAUAGGUGGGAGGCUUUGAAGUGUGGACGCCAGUCUGCAUGGAGCCGACCUUGAAAUACCACCCUUUAAUGUUUGAUGUUCUAACGUUGGCCCCUAAUCGGGGUUGCGGACAGUGUCUGGUGGGUAGUUUGACUGGGGCGGUCUCCUCCUAAAGAGUAACGGAGGAGCACGAAGGUUGGCUAAUCCUGGUCGGACAUCAGGAGGUUAGUGCAAUGGCAUAAGCCAGCUUGACUGCGAGCGUGACGGCGCGAGCAGGUGCGAAAGCAGGUCAUAGUGAUCCGGUGGUUCUGAAUGGAAGGGCCAUCGCUCAACGGAUAAAAGGUACUCCGGGGAUAACAGGCUGAUACCGCCCAAGAGUUCAUAUCGACGGCGGUGUUUGGCACCUCGAUGUCGGCUCAUCACAUCCUGGGGCUGAAGUAGGUCCCAAGGGUAUGGCUGUUCGCCAUUUAAAGUGGUACGCGAGCUGGGUUUAGAACGUCGUGAGACAGUUCGGUCCCUAUCUGCCGUGGGCGCUGGAGAACUGAGGGGGGCUGCUCCUAGUACGAGAGGACCGGAGUGGACGCAUCACUGGUGUUCGGGUUGUCAUGCCAAUGGCACUGCCCGGUAGCUAAAUGCGGAAGAGAUAAGUGCUGAAAGCAUCUAAGCACGAAACUUGCCCCGAGAUGAGUUCUCCCUGACUCCUUGAGAGUCCUGAAGGAACGUUGAAGACGACGACGUUGAUAGGCCGGGUGUGUAAGCGCAGCGAUGCGUUGAGCUAACCGGUACUAAUGAACCGUGAGGCUUAACCUU